UACGUAGGGAGCGAGCGUUGUCCGGAAUUAUUGGGUGUAAAGGGUGCGUAGGCGGCUAUGUAAGUCAGACGUGUAAUGCAGGGGCUUAACCUCUGAACUGCGUUUGAAACUGUGUAGCUUGAGUGGAGUAGAGGCAGAUGGAAUUUCCAGUGUAGCGGUGGAAUGCGUAGAUAUUGGAAGGAACAUCAGUGGCGAAGGCGGUCUGCUGGGCUCUUACUGACGCUGAGGCACGAAAGCAUGGGGAGCAAACA
Molecule: ribosomal RNA, 251 nt
Filed under: uncultured bacterium
Lineage: Bacteria
Description: partial 16S ribosomal RNA
Rfam family: Bacterial small subunit ribosomal RNA
Source: RNAcentral